RNAcentral lists this ribosomal RNA (124 nucleotides) under uncultured Bacteroidota bacterium. RNAcentral describes it as "uncultured Bacteroidetes bacterium partial 16S ribosomal RNA". It matches the Rfam family "Bacterial small subunit ribosomal RNA", at positions 335 to 458 of the family's 1533-position model. The record is from RNAcentral. Lineage: Bacteria; Pseudomonadati; Bacteroidota.
ACUCCUACGGGAGGCAGCAGUGGGGAAUAUUGCACAAUGGGGGAAACCCUGAUGCAGCGACGCCGCGUGAAGGAAGAAGUAUUUCGGUAUGUAAACUUCUAUCAGCAGGAAGAAAUGACGGACC